This 72-nucleotide transfer RNA is filed under the name Stegodyphus mimosarum. It matches the Rfam family "tRNA". Rfam says of the family: Transfer RNA (tRNA) molecules are approximately 80 nucleotides in length. Their secondary structure includes four short double-helical elements and three loops (D, anti-codon, and T loops). The record is from Rfam by way of RNAcentral. Lineage: Eukaryota; Metazoa; Arthropoda; Arachnida; Araneae; Eresidae.
GCCUUCGUGGUGUAAUGGUCAGCACACUUGGCGCGUAUUCGAGAGGUCCAGGUUCGAGUCCCGGCGAGGGCA